CCUACGGUAGGCAGCAGUGAGGAAUAUUGGUCAAUGGGCGCUAGCCUGAACCAGCCAAGUAGCGUGAAGGAUGACUGCCCUACGGGUUGUAAACUUCUUUUAUAAAGGAAUAAAGUGCGGCACGUGUGCCUUUUUGCAUGUACUUUAUGAAUAAGGAUCGGCUAACUCCGUGCCAGCAGCCGCGGUAAUACGGAGGAUCCGAGCGUUAUCCGGAUUUAUUGGGUUUAAAGGGAGCGUAGAUGGGUUGUUAAGUCAGUUGUGAAAGUUUGCGGCUCAACCGUAAAAUUGCAAUUGAUACUGGCAGGCUUGAGUACAGUUGAGGUAGGCGGAAUUCGUGGUGUAGCGGUGAAAUGCUUAGAUAUCACGAAGAACUCCGAUUGCGAAGGCAGCUUACUAAACUGUAACUGACAUUGAUGCUCGAAAGUGUGGGUAUCAAACAGGAUUAGAUACCCGUGUAGUC
This 460-nucleotide ribosomal RNA is filed under the name uncultured bacterium. RNAcentral describes it as "partial 16S ribosomal RNA". It matches the Rfam family "Bacterial small subunit ribosomal RNA", at positions 338 to 795 of the family's 1533-position model. The record is from RNAcentral.